This 497-nucleotide ribosomal RNA is filed under the name uncultured bacterium. RNAcentral's name for it is "partial 16S ribosomal RNA". It matches the Rfam family "Bacterial small subunit ribosomal RNA", at positions 28 to 507 of the family's 1533-position model. The record is from RNAcentral.
GAUGAACGCUGGCGGCGUGCCUAAUACAUGCAAGUCGAGCGAACAGACGAGGAGCUUGCUCCUCUGACGUUAGCGGCGGACGGGUGAGUAACACGUGGAUAACCUACCUAUAAGACUGGGAUAACUUCGGGAAACCGGAGCUAAUACCGGAUACUAUAUUGAACCGCAUGGUUCAAUAGUGAAUGACGGUUUUGCUGUCACUUAUAGAUGGAUCCGCGCCGCAUUAGCUAGUUGGUAAGGUAACGGCUUACCAAGGCAACGAUGCGUAGCCGACCUGAGAGGGUGAUCGGCCACACUGGAACUGAGACACGGUCCAGACUCCUACGGGAGGCAGCAGUAGGGAAUCUUCCGCAAUGGGCGAAAGCCUGACGGAGCAACGCCGCGUGAGUGAUGAAGGUCUUCGGAUCGUAAAACUCUGUUAUUAGGGAAGAACAAAUGUGUAAGUAACUAUGCACGUCUUGACGGUACCUAAUCAGAAAGCCACGGCUAACUACGUG